AGCUACGUACCGCGUAUACGCGGUACGUAGCU
This 32-nucleotide unclassified non-coding RNA is filed under the name Canis lupus familiaris (dog). RNAcentral's name for it is "RNA Expansion segment ES6 part II from Canis lupus familiaris (PDB 4V5Z, chain AE)". Lineage: Eukaryota; Metazoa; Chordata; Mammalia; Carnivora; Canidae. The record is from RNAcentral.